UGGGGAAUAUUGCACAAUGGGCGCAAGCCUGAUGCAGCCAUGCCGCGUGCAUGAAGAAGGCCUUCGGGUUGUAAAGUACUUUCAGUCGGGAGGAAGGUGGUAAGGUUAAUAACCUUAUCAAUUGACGUUACCGACAGAAGAAGCACCGGCUAACUCCGUGCCAGCAGCCGCGGUAAUACGGAGGGUGCAAGCGUUAAUCGGAAUUACUGGGCGUAAAGCGCACGCAGGCGGUUGAUUGAGUCAGAUGUGAAAUCCCCGGGCUCAACCUGGGAACUGCAUCUGAUACUGGCAAGCUUGAGUCUCGUAGAGGGGGGUAGAAUUCCAGGUGUAGCGGUGAAAUGCGUAGAGAUCUGGAGGAAUACCGGUGGCGAAGGCGGCCCCCUGGACAAAGACUGACGCUCAGGUGCGAAAGCGUGGGGAGCAAACAGG
RNAcentral lists this ribosomal RNA (429 nucleotides) under Chloroflexota bacterium. RNAcentral describes it as "Chloroflexi bacterium partial 16S ribosomal RNA". It matches the Rfam family "Bacterial small subunit ribosomal RNA", at positions 355 to 776 of the family's 1533-position model. The record is from RNAcentral. Lineage: Bacteria; Bacillati; Chloroflexota.